This 73-nucleotide transfer RNA is filed under the name candidate division SR1 bacterium. Its description in RNAcentral is "tRNA-Lys". It matches the Rfam family "tRNA". From Rfam's summary of the family: Transfer RNA (tRNA) molecules are approximately 80 nucleotides in length. Their secondary structure includes four short double-helical elements and three loops (D, anti-codon, and T loops). Lineage: Bacteria; Candidatus Absconditibacteriota. The record is from RNAcentral.
GGGUUAGUAGCUCAGUUGGUAGAGCAACGGACUCUUAAUCCGCAGGUCCAGGGUUCGAAUCCCUGCUAACCCA